Molecule: ribosomal RNA, 372 nt
Filed under: uncultured organism
Description: partial 16S ribosomal RNA
Rfam family: Bacterial small subunit ribosomal RNA
Source: RNAcentral
GUAGGUGGCAAGCGUUGUCCGGAAUUAUUGGGCGUAAAGCGCGCGCAGGCGGUUCUUUAAGUCUGAUGUGAAAGCCCACGGCUCAACCGUGGAGGGUCAUUGGAAACUGGAGAACUUGAGUACAGAAGAGGAAAGCGGAAUUCCACGUGUAGCGGUGAAAUGCGUAGAGAUGUGGAGGAACACCAGUGGCGAAGGCGGCUUUCUGGUCUGUAACUGACGCUGAGGCGCGAAAGCGUGGGGAGCAAACAGGGAUUAGAUACCCUGGUAGUCCACGCCGUAAACGAUGAGUGCUAAGUGUUAGGGGGUUUCCGCCCCCUUAGUGCUGCAGCUAACGCAUUAAGCACUCCGCCUGGGGAGUACGGCCGCAGGCUG